UACGUAGGGUGCGAGCGUUAAUCGGAAUUACUGGGCGUAAAGCGUGCGCAGGCGGUGAUGUAAGACCGAUGUGAAAUCCCCGGGCUUAACCUGGGAACUGCAUUGGUGACUGCAUCGCUCGAGUAUGGCAGAGGGGGGUAGAAUUCCACGUGUAGCAGUGAAAUGCGUAGAGAUGUGGAGGAAUACCGAUGGCGAAGGCAGCCCCCUGGGCUGAGAUUGACGCUCAGGCACGAAAGCGUGGGGAGCAAACAGG
RNAcentral lists this ribosomal RNA (253 nucleotides) under uncultured bacterium. RNAcentral's name for it is "partial 16S ribosomal RNA". It matches the Rfam family "Bacterial small subunit ribosomal RNA", at positions 524 to 776 of the family's 1533-position model. The record is from RNAcentral.